RNA transcript from Salvia splendens (bonfire salvia), 1336 nucleotides. It is a transcript of the gene named initiation factor 4A-like protein, with no coding region annotated. The transcript has 8 exons. The record is from RefSeq and is a predicted model, not a curated record. Lineage: Eukaryota; Viridiplantae; Streptophyta; Magnoliopsida; Lamiales; Lamiaceae.
UUCAUACAAUGAAUAUCAAUCUCAGUGGACAGUGGUCCACCAAUGAAUUUCAUGACCUGGCAGCCUAUAGGCUAUAGUGAUUUUUCAUCUAUUUUCUUUUUGUCUACUUUAUUUUCUUCAUAUUUUGCAAUUUUAUUUAAACAUAAAUCGUAGAUGAAACAAAAAUAAGUAAAAUGCUAAAAAGUUGAUGAUUUAAAUUGUUGCUAGACAGUGAUUAAAUUUACGGGAUUAUUGUAAUAUAAUUUAAAGUUUAAACAUUAAUUAAAUUAAUUUCAUAGCUAAGCAAAGACGAAGCUCUCUGUGUAGAGUUUGAGGUCUGAAGAGAUGGAUGCCUCUGAAUCUCCACUCUCCACCUCUCCAUCUCCGCCCCCCUCUUUCAUCCCGCAACGCCAUUUCUACCUCGCUGUAGAUAGGAUCCAAUUCAAGAUGGAAACCCUAUUAGGUCUCCUCGGCAUGGCUGGGAGGCGUCCUUCUCUUCCGAUGAUUGUAUGCUGCAGCACUCGAGACGAGCUCGAUACGAUAUGCUCCAAUCUCUCUAGCCUAUCGACUUAUGUUUCUGUAUCCCCGCUAUACAGCGAUCUUUCUGAAGUCGAGAGGGCAGAGGUUUUGGAUAGGUUUAGGCAGGCCACUAUGAGAUGGAAUAGCUUAGGAAGAGGGGAGGAAGCUGUGGGAGAAGGGGACGAGGAGCGAAAAUCGCAUGUUGUUGUUGUUACCGAUGCCUGCCUUCCGCUUCUUGGAUCUGUUGAGGCGCCGCUUUGUGCUUGCAUGUUGAUCAACUACGAGCUGCCAACAAAGAAGGAGACCUAUAUGAGGCGUAUGACGGCUUGUUUGUCAGCAGAUGGAAUAGUGAUUAGCAUGGUUGUUGGAGGAGAAGUAGUGAUUCUGAAAAACCUUGAAGAGAGCAGUUGUCUUGUCAUAGCUGAAAUGCCUAUAAAUAUCUUUGAGAUGAUUUGAACUGCCAACCUGCUUGGAUUCUCUGAAGAAAUGUAAUGGCACACACGCCUUCUCAAAAGCACAGAUGAAAGUCUCUAAAUAAUUGAAGGUUUUGAUGUCAGAAGAAAUCCCAAGCACACCAACAAGAGCCUUCUUACAGUGUUUUUUUUACCCCUAAUUUCUUCUGUGCAAAUAUGUACUUAAAUUCAAUUGAAUGACUCCCAAGUUUGUCAGUUAGAAAAGGAACAUCAUCAAUUUUCCUUGCUUUGUUGAUCAUCUGUUAGAAUAAAUAUCUUGUUGCUGACACUUCUUUCUGAGCUGCACAGAAAGAUGCGGCAAGAAUAAAUGAGAUGUCCAAUCUUUGGAGAUCAUGUCCAAAUUAGUAAAGUUGGUGUCUUGUUAA